This is an RNA transcript of Mirounga angustirostris (Northern elephant seal), 37419 nucleotides long. It is a transcript of the gene named androgen induced 1, with no coding region annotated. The record is from RefSeq and is a predicted model, not a curated record. The transcript has 6 exons. Lineage: Eukaryota; Metazoa; Chordata; Mammalia; Carnivora; Phocidae.
GCCCCGCCCCGCGGCCGGCCAGGGUUCUCCCGGCGCCCGCCCCCGCGCGCCCUGCGCCUCCAGCCCUCGCUCCCCGCCCUCCAGGCUGCCAGGCCCUUCGCGAACAUGGCGCUUGUCCCGUGCCAGGUGCUGCGGGUGGCGAUCCUGCUGUCCUACUGCUCUAUCCUGUGUAACUACAAGGCCAUCGAAAUGCCCUCGCAUCAGACCUACGGCGGGAGCUGGAAAUUCCUGACGUUCAUUGAUCUGGUCAUCCAGGCUGUCUUUUUUGGCAUUUGCGUGCUGACUGAUCUUUCCAGUCUCCUGACUAGAGGAAGUGGGAACCAAGAACAAGAAAGGCAGCUCAAGAAGCUCAUCUCGCUCCGGGACUGGAUGUUAGCUGUCCUGGCCUUUCCUGUUGGGGUUUUCGUGGUAGCGGUCUUCUGGAUCAUUUAUGCCUAUGACAGAGAGAUGAUUUACCCGAAGUUGCUUGAUAAUUUUAUCCCAGGGUGGCUGAAUCACGGAAUGUUUUUGAAGUGUUUUCACACCGUAUGUUGAUGACCACAACUGAGGGAAAUCAUGAAGCCACUUCCAGCACACAACAGUUUUGCCCUUUAUAUUAAUCGAGAUGAGGACAUCACACCAUGCGUAUCCCAGCAGGAGCAGUGGACUCGCCGCCAUAUGUACCUUCUCUGUUGGCUAUAUAUUAUGAAUUCCAAGUCCUCUUUGAUAUAUCAGUACACACAGAAGAGGUUCCUCCCACCAACAUUUCUGCCUCUUGGGACUCUCUUGUCCUGAGUUCUGGGUCACCAUCCCCUCCUUUAAGCCUGAAGGACUGAAUCACAUUCUUCCAAACACCCCAGAACUGUACGUAAUCCCUCCAAAAUCCCGGAGCUCUUUGGGAGGCCCAGGCUCUGUGGAGUGUUUUGCUCUAGCCAGCCCAGAAAUACAAGAUAAAGGUCAGUACAGUACUUCACAUACUUUGCAAUGAAUGAUCACACAAUGCUCCAGAUCUGACCAGAAAGGAAAUUUGUUUCUAGGAAGUCAUACCCUGUAGCUGGAUCUAAGGGGACACCCAGAUGAAAGACCCCAGAACAAACAUGCAGUAAUGCUCAUUCUAUCUGCCAUUUCAUCGACUAGUCAAAGACCAUCGUAAAGACUGGGCAAUGUUGGUUUUCCUUGUCACUUUCAAGAUUUUUUUGUUUCCACCUCAAACGUUAAGUAUUGAUUUUCUCUAAUAGAAAAGCUCCAAAUGAUCAGAGCUCACAGGUGAAAUGUGACUGAAAUUAUGUCUCAAAAAUGAAUAUAUGUACUUUAUAUAUAUGAACUUGAUAUUCAAAUGACUCUUACCUUUCAGAAGAGUCAUGUAGGGAGUCUAGGAAUUAUUCCAGGGAUGCAUUCAUCUUAAAAUAAAAAAUCAUUAAAAAUUAAAUCCCCCUUUCCCCAAAAAAUAUAGUCUCAUUACUUUGUGCUCAUAUUUGCUUACCUGUGGGAAGGGAAGCUUUUUACUCUGAGAUCUCUGGGUGUAUUUCUGUGAAUUCAUUUCUAUGCCAUUAAAUUAUCUAAAUCUUAUAGAGCCCCAGAGGUUUUGUGAACUAUGUAUUUUCCAAUGGCUUUUCUUCCACUGUGGGUACACUCAGUCCACAUUCCAAAGAGACACAUGGGAAAUACCACAUAGCCUUCAUUAUAGACCCCCAAGAUCCCUCAUUAAAAUGAAUCAUUACUCAUGCUCUUCAUGCCAAGUGAGGCUUGCCAGCUCUGCAUACUCCCUAAGUAAACCAGUACUUGUUUGGACAUGUAUUUGCAUUAACCAGCAAAUUCUCUCAGAUUUGUUCUGAGAGAGAUUUCAAAGUAGACUUUUUCCUUUGGUGUUCUGCCCUAGGUAUUCAUAGCUGUGUCAAGAGCUAAACAAUGCCCCUCACAUCAUGUCAUAGUAUAUAAAUCCAAGGAUUUUCAUUGUCAUCAAAAAGGUACUGGCUUUUGCUUCCUACCAGACUAUCUCAGAGCCGCCUUACUGGUGAUACGAUAGUAAAAAGUUCAGGAUAUGAAAUCUUUUGGUAGCAUACCAAGAUUGUAACUGGACAUUCCAGAACCUCGUGCCAAAAUGGAAGAAAGCAUUCCCCAUAUCAUAUGCUAAUUAUAAAACAAAUAGAUCUCCCCUGCCAUCCCCUGCAUGGUCGAGCUGAAUCCAUACCUCUGCAUCUGCUGGCCAGACAGUCUCUGUUUUGUUCUGAUUCCCACUCACUGUCCAUUCCCACAUGGCUCCCUCCUUAUCUGAACUUAUUGUCUUCCUAGGUUUGAUAGCCAAAGUUGAGACAGCAUACAGAGCUUUCACGCAUAGACUGGAGCCCAUUGAGAUGCCACCCUGAGCGGCUCCAUUUCCCAACCCCUACUUCAGUCCUCCCAAGCUGAGCAUCAGAAGUCAUCCCAGACUCCUUUUCUGCCUCCUUCUGCUUCCCACCAUACUUCUCUCCACUUACCCAGGGUCUGGACACAAACAUCUCCCUGUCCACUUAUGGUGGGCUCUUAAUACCUUUUCUGCAUACCUCCCCUCCAUCAUCAUUCCCCCACACAUUCUCUGCACCCUAGUUGUGGGGUUUCCCCUAAAAAAUGAGAUGACCUGUAUUAUCUUACACAGGAUAAAACACAGAGGUCCUCUUGGUUUCUAAUGCAACAGUAAUUAACAGGAAUUGUAAUGAAUACCAUUCUUUUGAAUUCUGUGCCAAGUGCUUUUCAAAUAUUAUGUUAUUUAGUUCCCCAGAUAACCCUUUGAGAUAGGCAUUAUCUAGCCUAUUUUACAGAUAAGGAAAAUAAAACUUAGAGAGUAUAUGACUUGCCCAAGGAAAAGCCACGUGUCCUUGUUGUUGCCAGAUCUGGAAUGCAAGCCCUGGUGUGGCCACAGUCUGUACAAUUCACUGUGCUCUCCACUGCCUUCUUCUUGGUGAAGAGUACUUCUGUGGGUGAACAGAUUAAGUGUGUGUUUAGUUUUGGUUUUGUUUUGAAGCAAUACAUCAGAAGCAGCAUGUCUAAUAGUUAAGGCCACUUCCUGGGUUAGAAUUCUGACUCCUUCACUUAACUUUUCUGAGCUCUAACUUACUUGGGUAUAAAAUAGGGACAAGGACCUCACGGGGCAGUUGUGAGAAUGCAGUUACUGUAUAUAGAACCCAUAGAACAAUGCCUGGCACACAGUAAAAAAUUUUUAUAUUUUCUUUUAUUGAUGGUGGUAGUAGUAGUAGUAGUAAUGUUAGUAUUAGUAGUUCUAUACAUACUGUUCUGAAGACAACACAUAGUAGCAGAGCACGUACUCUUUUCUUAUCAAAGGUUUGAGAAUUUUAGUUACAAUGCUGUAAGCCUUUUGCUUUUACUUUUACUCUUCACUCUUUCACUCACUCAUACACUCAUCACUUUAAAAGCCCAAAAUAGCCCUAAAGGAUAUGAAAAUAUCACUUUUGUUUGCUUUUUAAGUUUAAAAGUACCAUCAGGAAUUCUUGAAGGGGGAUUGAGUAAAACAGAGCUUUAAGAUCAUGGAAUGUUAUAUGCAACUAAUGAAUCAUUGAACAUUAUAUCAAAAACUAAUGAUGUACUAUAUGUUAGAUAAUUGAAUUUAAAUUAAAAAAAAAUCAUGGAAUGUUGACUGCUGUCACCCUCUAGUUGACAAAUUCUGUAAAAGAAGAUAUCCUUACUCUACCUAUGCAGGACUCCUCCUGGUAGCCAAUCUGUUCCUUGGCUGUGGCCCCCCAGCACCUCACAUCUUUGUCUCCCUGUAUAGUACUGGUACUGCUUACUGCUUUGCCUCUCAAUCUGAAGGACAUAGAUAGAGGAAAACCACCCCAGAUCUAGGAAAUGUAUAUCCCCAAAGGUUCAGCAGUGGGUCUUCUCUAUCCUGAGAAGGUUUCUUCCAGCCCCUGUCCAUUCCCCCCUCCCACAGUGGUUCUUAUUCAGUAGAGCCCACAUGAGAUCUCAGAGCCCAUGCAUAAUACAUGCUAACACUAAAUACAAGGCACAGACAGGAGUAAGGAGGCAUUAGGGAAGGGGAGAAAAUGAGUCAUAGGAGUUUCUUCUUAUGGAUAAACAAGUCUUUUCACUACAGUGAGUUUAUUUAAAGCAGAAGAGAGAUUUCUGUUGUCUCUGGGCCCUAAUGGUUUUUGAUACAUUUCGUAUUCCAAAUCUCUUAACCCCAAAUGUGUCCAUUGUGCAACUUCUCAAAACAGAAAAUAAAACAGUAAAAUCAAGAUGAAGUGCAAUCUUUCUUUCAUGGUAUAGUCUUAAACUUCUCUAAAUCAGAGUUCUAUCUCCACCAAACUUGAUUAUAAAUUAGCUAUGCAAUUGCAGAUUAUUUUUUUUGCUUUCUUAUUGAAACUUUUCUUUAUUUCCUCAAGUUUGUGCUGGAAACAAACAUUGUUUCUUAAAACACAAGAAAAAAAUCUUAAAAAUAAGAUUGUACUCAAAUUUAAGUCUUGGAAAGAAUUUUUAGCCAUGAACAAGUAAAAUUUUUAGCAUAAAAUUUACACCCUCUUCACUAAAAAAAGGGAAAUUUUAGACCACAUGUAAAGUCCCCCUACUUAAUUGUAUGCUUCUGCCACCAGUUAAGCAAAACUGGCCAACAUGCUGUUGUUCUCUGACCAGCAGAUGACAUUUUCCUCUGUUCAACUUGAACCUUUCACUCUAUCAUAACUGCCUAUGCUGAUAACUUUUACAUCUGUAACAGUGCGUGAAAGUUUUCCUGAUUUCCUGGCAGUGGAGAACAGGGACCAAGUUGAAAGAGUAAUGCGGUAUAUGCCUCACAUUCUGAAGAGAGGUGCCUUUUUGGGGGCUUAUAAAAGACAGCCCAAACACUCUGUUCCCUUACGCAUGACCAAAGCCAUCCACACUUUGCCAUGCCCAUCUUCCUAACCUUCUUUCCUCAGCCUGGCUAGGAAGAAGGAGAGGGUCUUUGCAGUCUUGAAUUGGGGUCUAGGGGAACCACUGGGGAAGGAAGUGCCUCCCCACAUUCACCAAAGCCAAGUAUAAGAGGCUCCAAGAGAAUCCUUGGUAAAUAUCAGGUAUAAGACAGGAAUCUAACUUAGGAAGAGACUUAACUUUUAUUUGCCUCCUGCCUGAGCAAGGAAAAGAGCAUUGGACGGGUAUGACAGGGUGGAGGGAGGGGCAGCUGUAGGGCAGACUAUGACCACAUCAUUUGUAUGUGGCAAAGAUGGGUGAGUUUCUUGUGGAUCUGGUUUGACAUUGAGGUAGAGCACUGGGCUCAGGGCUGUCUUAAUGGUGGCCCACCCAAGAAGGCCAGCCCCUGGGCAAGGGUUUCCAAACAGCAAGAGAUUGUAGCAUACUGCCAUGAGCAGGAGCCAGUCCGUCUCCCACAUAUGGAACCUCUGAAGUAGAGAAGCCCUUCAGAGAUCCCUACAAACCUCACACAUAUGCACCGCAUGCAAAAGUAGGCAUCUAAACAUCAGCCUCAUAACAUUUAUCAGUGGAGAGUAGGUAUUAGCAGAGGAAAAGGAGAAACCACUUGCACAGCCAUGGGCAGUGAAGUCCGGAGAUAUUCAUCUUCCUCCCAUUUCCCCUCCCAGAUCCCCGGCCAGGAUAGAGACAUCCCAGAACCAGGCUAUGCCCUCCCAUUCUACUUCAAGGUACUGGAGGAGGAGGCAGAACAAAAAUACAGAGCCCCCUCCCACUCAAGACUCCAGCAAUAAUCCUGGUGUGUUCAAUGCAGGCAGAAGGCCCAGGUGUUGGAGCUGAGCAAGGGGAGAGUGACCAGAGACCCCUGGAGUGGAGGAAGGAUUAUGUAGGCCUCGUAGGGUAUAUAAAGACUGUGUCCUUAGUUCAUACUGAAAUCAAGAGUUAUUGGAAGGUUUUGAACAGAAAACUGACAUAAUCUGAGACAUUUUUAAAGGAUCACUUUGGCUACUAUGUUGAGAAUGGACUGGAGGCAAGGAUGGAGCAGGAGAACAAUUACAAGGCUAUAGAAGUAAUCCCUUCUGGUAGGCAGUGGUAUGGCUUGGACCAAGGUGGUAGAAAUGGCAGUGUGAGAACUAGAAGGAUUCUGGAUAUAUUUUGAAGAUAGAGCCAAUAGGAUUUCCUACUUAAUUUUGACCAAAUGUGAUUACAGUAAAGACCUUGGGGUGGGGAGGUUAGCCUGCAUUAUCCAAGUGGGCCCAAGCUGAUCAUCUGGUUUCCCCAAUGUGGUUAGAGGGGAGCGGGACUGUGAGAAAGGGGUUGGCUGGAUAUUACAGGAAAAGGACCCAAACCAUUGCUGCCAGCUUUAAAGACAGUGGAAGGGAACGAUGAGCCAAAUAAUGUGGGCUGCUUCUAGCAGCUAGAGAAGUCAAGGAGACAGAUCCAGAAAGAACACAGCCCUGCCAACAUCUUGACUAUAGCCCCCUGAGUUGGACUUCUAACCUACAGAAUUGUAAGAUAAAUGUGUGUUGCUUUCAGCCACAACGUUUGUAGCAAUGCAUUAUAGCAGCAGUAGAAUACUUACACACUUGGGCAAAUCACUUAGUCUCUGUUGGCCUCAAUUUCCACAUCUGAAAAAAAAAAGGGUCAUGAUACUUAGGAAGGAUUACUGUGAGAAUCAGAAAAAUGGGUGUAGGGGCUUCUGGGUGGCUCAGUCGGUUAAGCGUCCGACUCUUGAUUUCUGUUCAGGUCACGAUCUUAGGGUGGUGAGAUCCAGCCCUGUUAUCAGGCUCCACGCUGAACGUGGUGCCUGCUUAAGAUUCUUAAGAUUCUCUCUCUCCCUCUGCCACUCCCCCCAUCCCCAUGCUCUCUCUCUCUUAAAAAAAAAGGGGGGGGGGAGAAAGAAAGAAAAAUGUGUGUAAAACACCUGCCACAUAAUUGGCAUGUAGUCCUGUAGCCAUUGUUGUUCUGUUUAUAUGCUAAGAAUACUCAGACAUAAAGUAACCUAACCCCAGCCCCUUUCUCCAUGUUUCUUCCCUCAUUAACCUCUUGUGCCUGUUCUGGGAGGUGGAGGUUCAGAUCCUUGAAGUCACACCAUCUUUUGUUCAGUUCCCUCUCCUUGGUUUGAGCAGAUCACUUAUCCUCUCUGAGCCUAAUUUUUACCACCUUUAAAAAGGGAGUAACGCCCAGUGCUCCAUGCAGAACGUGCCCUCUUUAAUACCCAUCACCAGGCACUGGGUGUUAUACACAAACAAUGAAUCAUGGAACACUACAUGAAAAACUAAUGAUGUAAUGUAUGGUGAUUAACAUAACAUAAUAAUAAAAAUAAAAUAAAUAAAAAAGGAGUAACGCUUGCACCACAGAAUUGCUGUGAGGACUAACAAGCACAUGGGGCCCUUGGGAAAUGAUCGUGUCUUUCCUUCCUCCCACCACAAAAAUCCUGACUGUCUGAGGAGUAUAUGGGAAAGUCCCAUUUCUUUCUCUCCCUUGUCCCCACAACCCUUAUUUUCAUUUUAUCCUCUGCUCUUCUUAUGGAUUCUGGUCCUGCUUCAUGGGCUUUUUGUCCCCUCACAACCUAUUAAGAAUGCUAAAGAAUUUUCUGAAAAUUUCUUACAGUUCGAACAUUAAGUUAUUUCCCAAGCUCUGCUUUUCCCCUGAGAGCCAAGAAUGUCAUUGCUUUCCCAUUAUUCCGAUCUGCUUAUUUUUACAAACACGUUGUUGAGAUGAGUUGUUGUUUUCUCAUCUUCUGGACAAUGGAGGGCUUGCCAACUGAGAGUAUGGCUUGCACUCAGCCCCUCAGAGUGCCCACUUGGGUGUUGAUUAAAUCAGUUUCUUAGAUCUGCAUCUGGACAAAAAAGGCUUGGGUGUAUAAUCCAUCUCAGUUCCCAGUAUUUAUUAUUCUGAGUUUCGUCUUCUCCUACCCCCAACAGCUGGUUCUCAGACUUGCUGGGAGCACAUAAAGAACUAGAAUUCCCCAUAUGCUGUUAACCAUGCCCCCUGCCCCAAAAUCAUCUUCUAUGUGGUUAUGACCCCACACUUCCCAGCACAACAUCCAUACCAACAUGACCACUUCUUUUCCCUGUAGUCUUCUGGAAUCACCAGUUUGAUGCUGCUUGUGUCCUUGAUGUUACUUUGCAAUUUUACUUUGCAUUUCCUCCACCAGCUCUGCCAGUCCUGCCUCCGCUUCCAGCUCACACUCCCUAGUCCUCUCUCAGCUGAUGGCCUGACCUUGUAUUUCACAGAGACUCUAAAAGACUUUAAACAGGAAUUCUUUCCAUUUCUUCCUGUACACAUUCUUACUGUACCCACUCCCUUCUUAUGACAAUAGGGGAGGAAUUUCUAUACCUUCCAACAGGGCACCAUCCCUCUACUCUGGCUCCUCCCUGCUCCAGCUCUUCAUCCAUCAUCAUUCCAUUCUCCUGGAACUUCAGUCCCACUGACAGGUCCUUCCAAUAAAUACUAGAACACUCUCCAUCUUAAUUCCACCUUAAACACAAAUUACCCUUCUGGAACCACCCCUUUUUACAUCUAGCUACUGCACUGUCUCCCUACUCACAGCCGAGCUUCUCUGCAGGGUUGUCUACCUUGCCUCUAGUCCUGUUUGCACAUUUAAGAGACAGGACUAAAAAAAUGACUCGUGAGCCAAUGAGCUUGGGUUCUUCUUCUACAAUAUGACUUUGGGCAAGUCACGCCACCUCUCUCUGUGCCUUCACUUCCUCAUCUGUAGAAUGACGUAAUAAGAGCACCUGCCUCAUGGGGUUGUUGUGAUGAUUAACAUAGCAUUAAUCUUUAGUGGAUGUAAAGCCUGAGCCCGGAGUGUGUACUGUUAUCAUUAUGAACACACUCCAAUGGGAGUUAAGCUGCAUUACUUUAGCAAACCUUCGUUGAUGUUACCAGUGACUUCUACUUUGCUGAAGUCAUUGAAUGCUUUGUAGACCUCUCCUCCAUUGAUAUUUCAGCAGUUUUGAUACUAAAUUAGCCCCUUCCUAAAUCACUGUCUUCUCAGACUUGGAUGAUGUCACAAUCUCCCAAUUUCCCUCCCCGUUCUCAAAAUGAUCCCUCAUAGCAUCAUCUGCAGGCUCUUCCCACUCUACCCAAACCCCCAUGCUGGAGUACUUUGGAGCCCAGCCCUCGGUCUUCUUCUUUUUUUAUUUAUUAACUUUUUAAAUUUUAUUGUGGUGAGAAUACUCAACUCGGGACCCGCCUUCUUAACCGAGGUCCUCUUCUCUUACUACCUACUAUCCCUAAGUAAAUCCAUCAGCUCUGUGUUUGAAAUUUCUUCCAUCCCAGAUCCUCAGCUCAGUGCUCUCUGCUGAUACUUACUCAUAAGCUUCUCAUGCUUGCAACUGCACACCAAGCUCAAGCAGUAGCUGCUUUCCCAACUGUACCCCAAGCCUGUAUUCCCUGGGCAUUGCCAUCCACCCAGGUGUUCAUGCCAGAAAUCUAUGGGACACCCACAACCCAUCUUUCUGGAGCAUUUUACAGACAGUCUUUCACCAAUUUCUGGCUUCUAUACUUCCAAGUACUUGAAGAAUCUUUGCCCUUUGCUCCCUCUCCACUGCCAACACCAUGCCCCAGCUUCUGUUAUCCCUCUCCUAAACCACACAGAGAACUGGCAUUCUCCCCCCCAACCACCCCUGUCUAUCUGCCGGAUCCUUGGGUGAUACUUUAAAAGCACACUGACCAUGUCACUCCCUUGCUCAGAAAGUAUGGGUGACUUCCCAUUGCUUCUAGGAAUAAAGUCCAAAGUUUCUUUGCAUGGCUUCAAGGACCUGCAUCAUUUGCCCCACUGACCUCUCUAGCCUCCUUGUCCUCCUUUGCCCUCUUUGCUUGCUAGCUCCAGCCACACUGACCUUCUCUCUAAUGGUUAAAAGCAAUCUGUUUCUUCUAAGUUCAAAGCUUUCACCUUCCUCAUACCUCCACCCAACCUCCCCUCAGUCAUGCCCCCACAAUUAUUAAUUCCAAACUCGAUUCAUUCUUCAGUUCUCAACUCAACUAUCUCUUUCUCAGGGAGGCCUUCUCUGGCUCCCAAGACUUGGUUCAGGCUCUCUAUAAUACACUACUGCAGUGCCCUGUUCAUUUCCAUCUAAGGAGUUAAAAAGCAGUUGUUGUUGUUGUUUUUUAAAUUUUAUUUUAUUAUGUUACGUUAAUCACCAUAUAUUACAUCAUUAGUUUUUGAUGUAGUGUUCCAUGAUUCAUUGUUUGUGCAUAACACCCAGUGCUCCAUGCAGGACGUGCCCUCCUCAAUACCCACUACUAGGCCAACCCAUCCUCCCAACCCCCUCCCCACCAGAACCCUCAGUUUGUUUUCCAGAGUCCAUCAUCUCUCAUGGUUCGUCUACCCCUCCGAUUUCCCCCCCUUCAUUUUUCCCUUCCUACCAUCUUCUUAUUUUUAACAUAUAAUGUAUUAUUUGUUUUAGAGGUACAGGUCAGAGCAGUUGUUGUUAUGUGGUUAUUUGGUUGAUUUUUUUUUCAAAGCCUGCCCCCCAGACCCUCUCCCUUCACUAUCUAGAGCAAGAGAAAGGUCAGCAGUUGAAUUGGUCUUAAAGAAAAUAAAGAGAGCUUUCUUAUCUACAGUUGUCUAAGGGUUAAUACAAACACAUUUCCUUUUGACAUCAUAUCAAUCAAAAUGUCAGAAAAUAUUCUUAAGAUAGAUUGCUUAAUAAGAGAAACUGUGACAGUGUAUGAGUUUUAAAAGCAAGCAGAUAAAGUAGGGAAAAUUUAAAUUAUAUAUAUACAUACACACACACCUACCUUACACUUAGCUCAAUGGUAACCAUAUAAAGUAGUUUACAAUGUUCCUACCACCCAUUUCUCUAAUAUUGAAUUUCAGCUUGUCUCUUCUCCCACCUGCUUGGUUCACUUAAAUUGCCAACUGAAGCUGAUAGACUUCUAGAAAGAACCACACAGACUGCACUCCUUGCCAGAGUGGCAUUCCAUGUAUGGGAGGUGAUCCAGGUCAUGAAAUAAAAACAUUUCAAGUAGAGGAAAGAUCCAUUUAUUAGCCAAAUUAUAGCCUGUUCAUUUCCCUGAAGUGAGCCUUCUCUGUGUCUUUGAGAGUAUGGAAGCAUUUUGAAGGUUCAGAACAUGUUCUCUGGUGGCUGCAGGAGGGGAUUAUAUGCACAUCUUCACAGUGACUAUUAGCCUGCUCAGUCUCACCUUCAGCAGAAGGUUUCCACAGCCUGCAGACAUUUGUGUCUCCCACAGCACCCAGCAUUGUUGGUUUCCCCUGAGGCACAAAAUAAACAUUGAUUGAAAAUAAACAAUUCAGAUGAGGACAUAUUUAUACAAGAUUUGAGGGUGUUUUUAAAAGAUUUAUUUAUUUAUUUUUAGAGAGAGAGAGCAUGAAUGAGUGCACAUGGGGAGGGGAUGGGAGGGCAAAUGAAGAGGGAGAGAGAGUCUUAAGUGACAUGGGGCUCAAUCCCACAACCCCUGAGAUCAUGCCCUGAGCAGGAACCAAGAGUCAGAUGCCUAACCGACCGCACCACCCAGGCGCCCCAGUACCAGAUUUGAUGGUUUAUGCCAUAAGAGCGAAAAGAAAUCUGCAGCCAAAAUGACCUUUGAUUGAGAUAUAAAGGAAAUGGCAAAAGAAAAUUAGUCUAAAAUAACCACGUAAAACUUUGGCUUUAUACAUUUAAGUAGACCCAUUUUCCUAGUAAUUUUCAAAGACAAUGAACUAGUUUGAUUGUUAUUAUAACAUUUUAAUUCUCCCUUAAUCUGAAAGAUUGGGUCAAUGUAGACUCAGGACAAGAUUCAUUAACUCUCUCAAAUAAGUGUUUGUGUCCCUGCCAUGUGUCAGGCAUCGUGCUAGGUACAGGUGGUAAACAAUGUAUUAAGCUUCAGCUCUGCCCUCAAGGAGCUGACAGUCUAUUGUAGGAUACAGAAAAAUAAAAAAGUAAUUACCUUACAGUUGAUAUGGGCUGUUUAUAAUAGUAGAAAUACAGAAGGCUCUGAAAUUCCAGAGGAACUUUCCCUAACCCAGACUCAUAGGGUCAAGAAAGGCCUCCAAAAGAAGUGACAUGGGAGCUGGCCCUUGAGGGUGAGUAAGUGUUAGCCAUACAAAGGGCCAAGGUAAAAGUGUGUCAGGCAGAGAAAGGAGAUGGCCUGGAAGCAAGAGGGCAAAUCACAGGCAAAGAAGUUCAGUGCACUUGGAGCUGUCCACAUCUUGCCCUCCUCCAGUCAGAAUGAGCUCAAUUCUACCUUUCCUCUUCCCACCAGAACUACUUUUAUUUUACCUCUCUACAACAUCUUUCUCUGAAUCUGUUUUGUGUGUGUUCCUUUGAUUGAUUGGUUGGUUGGUUGGUUGGUUGGUUGGUUGGUUGGUUGGUUUGCCCAUUUCCCAUGAUGCCAUGCUCUGUCUGGUAUCCUCCUCAUGUUCUCCUUGGCAGGCCCUGGUGAUCUAACCCUGCCCACACUCAAACCCUCUUCACUCCCUUUCUCACACUGUCUCCUGUCCCCUCUCCACCUCAUGGGCACAGUGUUUUAAAAUGCAAAUCUGAUCAUGUCAAUCUUCCUACUUACAACCCUUCAAUAGUUUGUUUUUUCCUGUCUGGGGUUCUUUUUUUUCUUUUUGGGUAGCACUUUUAUUUUUCCUUAUGCCAUGACGUAUCCUUGGGCUGUGAUAGUCUCACGUAACAGUAGAAAAAAAAGAUGUGUAAGUCAUCCUUAAAAGCUGAGAAAUACACACAAAAAUCUUACAUAAAUUAAGACAAUGCAUAAAUUUACAGGUACAAAUACACAAAUUGUUUUGCAACUAUAAUGAGUUGUUUAAGCCCUGUGCUCUUCUGCUGAAAACACAUUGGAUGAGAAGGAAAAUGGAGUUUGAAGGCUUGGAUUAGCUGUAUUUCCUAGCUCUGCUGGAAGACUGCAAGAAAGAAGUGACAGUUCAUUCAUAAAGUCUUGCCAGCCUCUUGAGAAAUCCAGGAAUUGCCAUUAGUACUAUGUGUAGCUCCAGUCAGGCCCCAGAAGAGCUAACAGCUCACAUGAAAUUGUCAGUCAGCCAAACACCAUCACAUCAGGCCAAGUCCCUUCCAUAAACACAUCCCCCUUAAGCUCCCUUUGUCACACAGAAUGCCCAACCGAAUGUAUAAACUUUAAACCAAACAUAUGUAGAGAAUUUCAGAAAACAUAUUAUCAAAAAAUACUAACUUGAGUAUGAUGUUAAAUAGUGCUAUUUGCCUUCCUGUCAGACAAGGACAGGUGUCUUUUUAAGACGGCAUGUUCCAGGUAGAUAAGACUAACGAGAUGUGUCCUCUGCCAGGGCCAACCUGUACGGUGAACUAACUCGUACAGAAAAGUGCUGUGUAUCUGCUAGCAGCCCAUUUAAAGGCAUUUGCAAUGGCCAACAGGCCAAACUCACUGGAAUUCUACCUGCUCAUCCACAUCUGCUGGGAGGUCAAAGGGGUAGCCAGAUGCUAUAAUUGCAAUCAGAGGACUGGUAAUCUUAAUUUUACUGUAGUUGGCUCCGGGGCUGUGACAUCUGCAUUCUAAAGUCAGCCACACUGGCCUACUUGGUAAUACCACCACCACGUGCUACACAUCGUAUUGGCAUCUAGGCCUUUCCCAAUAUAGCAUCACAUCUUAUGGUUACAUCAGAGGUGUUCUUGUGAAUGCCAUGAUUCCAUGCCUAGGAAGGGUGGCUAGCAAGAGCUUCUGGGUCUAAGACCCUCUCCCUCCAGAGGGAAAUGAGCUGGCCUCAGGGAGCUUAGUUCUGUUCUCCAGAGAGGGCGAUGAGCAGCGGUACCUCCUGUUGGACAUCCAGGAUAAGGUGGUACUACUUCCCCUGAUGCCAUGUACCAUUUCUUUCUCUUCUGUGAUAGUGCCGUUAUGACAUCUUUUUCUCACAACCGUUAGAAAUAUUCGUCCAAGUCUCAGCUAGCUGGGUUCAGAAAUAAGCUAACAGGGACCAGGUGUAACCCUCAUAAAUGGGCAUUGUGUGGGUGACAGGGGACACCAUUACCCAAGUCUGUACACCCACCUGUGUAUGACCAGAGGCUAUACGGUGACGGCACAGUCAGAAUAGCAACAUGCACAGCUGGGCUACGGGAGAUGUCAAAUAGGAUCUGUGACAGAAGGCCUUGAAGCUCAAGGGAGCUUCACUGAAGAAGAACAUGGUGUUUCUCAGGGGCUACAGGAAUCACUGCCAAAGGUGCAGUGUCACAUUCCCCACCCCACCCAGUAGGAAGAGAGCCACAUUCAAUAGCAUUCUUUGAUGGCAGACACCUCUCUUGUCUGGGUUCACCAUCCAUAUGAUUCUCCCUCUGUCCCAUACCUACCAUGACAUCCUGUUGUUUUGAGCAAUAAAUAACAGAAAGCAACCAGGCACACUGAUUAUCAUCCUUAGCAGAGAAGACAUCUUUGCUCAUGCCUGAGCCACUAUUGAGGGAAAGAACAGUGACUUCUCCAUUCUUCUUGAUACUUUGAUUUCCUGCCUACACAGAUGAAAAAGAACUGGCCUUGAAGAAGAGACAGCAUCUGGAGAGCUUUUCAGUCCUGAAACACUUAGUGGCCUCAGAGGCCCUGUAUAAUUUCACCCCUGCCUAACUAUGCCACCUCAUCUCCUGCCCUUGCUUGCUCGCCCUCUACCCUUCAGUCGUACUUGACUUCUUUCCAUCCUGACACACCACGUUCUCUCAUGCCUCAAGACAUUCACACCAUGUCCUUCCCUCACCUGUCACUCUAUUGUCUGGCUUUCCUUCCAAUGGCAAAGUUUUGAGGGUAGGAGUUAUGCCUCUUGUGUUCAUUGCAAUAUCCCCAUCUCCUAGCAAAAUGUUUGGCUCAAAGCAUGUGUUAAACACAAAAAUGAAUGAAUAAGAAGAGACUGUAAGCAAACAUUAAUGUUUGGUGACAACAAGCUGGGUGAGUUGUUAUCUCUUGGCUUCUAUUGUCUUUGUCACAUGAAAGCGUUUUUUGGUUUGCUUGUUUUGCUUUUUUUAAGAGGGACUGAUACAAUAAACCCUACUACCCAUCACCUAACUUCAGUAAUUAUCAAUAUAUUGCCAAACUUGUUUCAUCUGCACCUGUAACUUGUUGGAUUUUUGUAGACAUAAAAUUUACAUACAAUCCAGUGGUUUUAAGAAUAUUCAUGAGGCUGUACAACCAUCACUAUUAUUAAUUCCAGAACAUUUUUAUCAACCCCAAAAGAAUCCCUGUACCUUUUAAGCAGUCACUCCCUACUCUCCCCUCCCUCCAGCCUCUAGAAAUGACUACUCUACUUUCUGUCUAUAUGGAUUUGCCUCUUCUGGAUAUUUCAUAUAAAUGAAACCAUACAAUAUGUGGCCUUUUGUGUCUGGCUUUUUUUGCUCAGCAUGAUGUUUUUAAGAUUCAUCCAUGUUGUAGCAUGUAUUAGCACUACAUUCCUUUUUAUAACCAAAUAACAUUCCAUUGUAUAGAUAAAGUACAAUUGGUUUAUCCAUUCAUCAAUUGAUGGACAUUUUGGGGUUGUUUCCAGCUUUUCGGCUAAAGAUGGAAGUGUGGAUGUAUAGUUAAAGGGAGAAAGAGCUUAGAGGGAAGUGUAAAGAUUUUGGGGCACAGGGAAGCCUGGUUAGAUUUGAUAUCACAAAAUAAUGCUGCACUAUCAUAAAAUUUUAUGGCACACAAAUCCCUUUGAAGUGAGCUCUGCCUCUUCCUCAGAACUCCAUAUACCAGUUCUACUAAACUUCUUCUAUUUCCUUGAACUUGGUCUCACUCACUCCUUCUCUCUGUGGGGACCAUUUGCUUCCAGGACUUACCUCCACUUACCAUCUAUCUUUGAGUCUCAGAUCAGAUGUCACUUCACCCAGGAAACCAUCCCUGACACUCUGGUUGGUGUUAGGUGCCCCUUUCAAGUAUUCCCAUGGCAUGCCUAAUCACCCCAUCAUAGCACUUACAGCAUUAUUUUGAAACCUCACCCCUGCACCACCACUGGACUAUAAGCUUGUGGGCAGGAACUACUAAGACAUUCUCCAAAUUAUCCCCAACACCUGAGACAGUGCCUGGUGCAUAACUGGGGCCCAGUAAAUUUUGAAGGGAUAAAUGAAUGAAUGAUGAAUACUUUCAAAACCAUGAAUCCAUGAGGGUCAAAGAUGGUAAGAACUAGGGCAGGACAGUAAUGUGGAUGUCUUUCCAACACAAUGGCCAUUGCAACUCUUUCCAGAUGAAUUUCACACCUUUAAAAAUAAAGGAGAAUUGGAGUAUUUGUCAAAACAUAUAUAUUUGUAGUUCUGAACAAGUUUCCCGUCAAAGUUAAAAAUAAAUUUUUCAGAAAUAUUAGCUUAUCAAUUCUCCCACUUUCUUUCUUUGUCCACAUUUGCUGUUCCAUUCUUGAAUGAAGAUUUCUAGAGCAAAAUUGGAAAGUGGCACUCAGGUGACCACAGAUAGAAAGAAUAGAGUACUAACCAGGAUCUCAAAUACAGUCUAGUAUUAGAGAUAACCUCUUAAUUGAUAUUGAAGAGGAUUAAAGUGGUUUUCCAAAAGAAAGAAAACUAUUAGUAAUAUGCCUGCCCCAUUACCAUCAAUUUUGUCAACUUAAUUUUUUAUUCCAUUUUGUUAACUCAAUUAAAAUUUUGGCUGUGUAUACUCCCCAAAAUUAUUAAAUUAUGAAAAAUCUGGAUUUUAAUUGCAUAUUGGGUUAAUAGGGAUAUUGCCUGAAUGUGACCAAAUAAAUCCUUCUGUAAAAUAACCACACAGAAAAUACAGCUAUAUUUAAAACAUUGUAUGCUCCAAGCCUCUGAAUGAAUUUUCCUCUGAGGAAAGCACUGUGUAGAGGAAGAAAUAUCUGACACAUACAAAUUAAGUGAGGUUGAUCUAUUGAAAUGUAGCUGGCAACAGUCCAGCUUUUUAGUUUGCUUUUAAUAGUUUAUUUCUAAGUGCAUCCAUCUUUAAACUAACUAUAUAGCUUGUUUUUACAAGAAACAAAUAGUGGGAGAUGGCCCUAAAUUGGUUCUUGCUUUGCAAUCCAAAAUAUAUCUUAAUGCAAGUUCCCCUGUGCUUAUCUAAUAAUGAGGUUGGACAAGAAUAAUGCUGCCUUGGAUUGCAAUGUUGAAGGCAUUCAUUAAAGUUAAUAAUCAGUGCUCUUGCAUAGAAGCUUUAUGCCUAACAUUGAUCGGCUCUUUGUUGUAUGGAGUUUGCUUGCAUUCAAGUAGCAAGAAGCUCACCACAAAGGCCAUCAGGUAGGUUUCCAUGGUAGCAGUCCUUCUUUUGUUAUUCUCGUUGUAACAUAGACAGUAUCCAAAUACUCACUGUGUCACUGCUUAAUGAAAAGAAAUAGAAUAUUAAUAAUGCCAGUAUAGUCAGGAAACUGGUCUUUGGGUGCCACAAUGAGUGAGGGCAUGCUGUCUCCUCAGGUUUUCUUUUAAGGAGCCAUCCACCAAGUGAGACUGGUGUCCCUUUGAUCUCAUUACAUUAUGUCCUAUUAAUGACCUUCCGUGGUCUCAUAUUAUAUCCUAGGGACAAAUAGAAUUAAAUGAUAGAAUCAUUUCAUCAGUGCUGAACCCAACAAAAUACAAGUUUGCAAUUGUACACUAAUAAGAGUGCAAUGUAAAACUAUAGAAGAAAAACAUCAACUUCUUAAAAUAUAAAGGAUAACAUUAAAAAAUGAAAAUAGUUUUGGAUUUUGUUGUGUUUGUGUAUGUGUUCAUUUUUCUUAGUGACUCAACACCUGGAUUUCUCAUUGUCUUUGUUGUUUAAAGCAAAUGCAUUCUGGUAAGUGUUACUUUCCUUUGGUUGUGACUCAAUUAUUUGAGUCCAUAACAGCACGUGGGAGCUUUAUUACGCAGCCCUGUCUUGUUCUAACAGAGAUCACCAGAGAAGUCACCUGGUAUGCAGUCGUUCAAAUAAAGAGAAGAAUUUACUAAGGCUUCGUGUUGUCUUCUAUUCAUCUCUGCAAAAACAUCAUUUCUGCCACUUACUCAGGAGAGAGUAAAAAGUGUAACUCUAAUUUAAUUUAAUUUAAUUCAAUUUUCUCCUUCCCCUAGGCUAGGAGAUCUGAAAACAUUUAUGAACUGGUAGGAUUUUAAUACUUCAGUUUUAGCUACUUUAAUUUAUGAGAUUUCCACAGGGCAUUGUAUCCCUAGUUGUUUUAGCCUUCAUUAUAAAUGACCUAAGUAGGUUUAACAUGCAUGGAGGUAUGUAAAAUCUCUACCAUAUAUUAAAUACAUUUUAAAAUACUUUAAAAAGAAAACCUCAAUGAGAUGGAGAACAGGAAUUAAUAAGGAAUUAGAUAUGAAUUUGGCCAGUGAUGCAGAAAUGGAAAGGACCCAGGAUUAAGAUGGAAAGGGAGAGGUUCAAGGUCACCAGGACUAGAAACUACUGACCAAGAAGAGGGAAUACAGUAGAAUGUUGUGAGCAGGAAGGAGUGGAAGCAGAGCCUCUGGAGCCAGACCAGAGGGAGGGCCAACCUGAAAGAACUGUGCAAAGCACCACUAUUUUCCCAUUUUAUAAAUUAGCAAAAAUUAACAUUUUUGCCUCUGUUUAAUGAAUAUAAAUUUUAAAUUGCCCUGCAUUUUGAGUGCACUCACCAGUGUUGAGAUGCAAAUACUUUCUACUUUUUAUUCUAAACUAUCUUUAUGGAUAUAACCUUUAUUCACUGAUUUAUUUGUACUACAGAUGUAUACAUUAUUCACUCAGUGUUGGUUGUGUUAGCUGAUAGAGACUCAAAGAUGAAUGAGAUCAAUAGUGAAAAGCCAAGAAAAACCCUUGUGUUUUGGAAAAAAGAGUGACAAAAUAAUAAUUGUUAUAUACACCCAGAGCAUUCUCAACAACACAGACCUUCUUGGAAAGGGAAAAGACUUUACCAGAGCUUUACAGAUGUGGGGAAAAGGAAGUUACUCAACUGUAGCCCUCUUGCUACGUUUCCUGUCUCACAGACUAGAGACAGAGGAGAUUUAACCAUAUGAUUAUAGAACUCAUCCCUGUCUCCACACCUCCCACCCCAUCAACAGGGUUCCAGUAUAAUACUAGAUUAACUGAGAGAGUUACAAGACAUGGAUGUUAUUUAAGGAGUUCUUAGGGAAACUCAACGAUAAAAGGGAAAGAAAAACAAAGACACUAAAGGAAAUCAAAACCUCUGGCACUUACGGCUAUAGCAAACAUUAAACACAGCCCAAGUCUUAGACUAACACACUAAAGUUCUAUUUACUUCUGUGUCUACUACCAGAAACAUCAUGUCUGACUUUCAACAGCAACAAAAAAUUACAAAGCAUGAUAAAAGUAAAGAAAAAAUAGAUUCUGAAAAGACAAAGUGAGCAUCAAAAUCAGCUGUGGCACAGAUUUAAUUAUAAUGAGUUUAAAAUAACUAUGAUGAAUAGGUUAAGGGAGCUCGUGAUAAAAGUAGACAACAUAUAAAAACAAUAAAACAUUGGAAGCAGAGCUGAAAACUCUAAGAAAGAAUCAAAAGGAAAUGUUACAAAGACACUGUAACAGAAAUGAAGAACAUCUUUGAUGGAUUCAUAAGUAGACUGGACACAGCCAAGGACAGAAUCAGUGAGCUUGACAAUAUAUCCGUAGAAACUUCUCAAAUUAAAGUGCAAGAGGAAAAAGAAUAAAAAAGAUGAGACAUAAUACCCAAGAACUCUGGAGCAAUUUCAAAUGGUCUAACAUACACAAAAUUGGAAUACCAGAAGAAGAGAGAACAGAGUAGAGGAAAUAUUUUAAGUAAUAAUAGCCAAGAAUUUCCCAAAAUUAAUGACAGACACCAAACCACAGAUCUAGAUCCAGGAAGUUUAGAGAAUAUCAAGCAGGUUAAGUAACAAAAUAUCUACAAAUAUCAAAUGCAAGCUGCAGAAACGUGAAAGAAGCUGAAAUAAGGUUGCAGGAGUGGAGGAGGAUACCUUUUACUUAUAAAACAAUGAGGACAGGAUUUAUGGCAUACUUAUCAUCAGAAAUCACUGCUUUCAAGAAGAAAGUGGGGUGAAAUAUUUCAAGUGUUGAAAGAAAAAAACCUAGAAUUCUACAUCCAGCAAAAUUAUUUUAUAAAGUGAAGGAGGGGUGCCUGGCUGGCUCAAUCAGUGGAGCGUGUGACUGUUGAUCUCAGGGUUGGGUUCAAGCCCCAUGUUGGGCACAUUUUUUUAAUACCAAAUUAAAAUAAUAAUAAUAAUAAUGAUAAUAAUUAAUAAUAAUAAAGUGAAGGAGAAAUAAAGAUUUUUCUGAGGCAAGCAAAAACAGAGAAUUCAUUGCCCACAGAAGUGCCCUAGAAGAAAUGUUAAAACAUGUUCUUAAGAGAGAAAGAAAAUCACAUAGGUCAGAAACAGAUCUACAUAAAGAAAGGGAAAACAUAGAAAAAGGAACAAGUAAAAGCAAAAUAAAUUAUUUCUUAUUAUUAAUUGAUCCAUUAGAGAAGUGCUGUUCACAGUUACAAUAGUAAUAAUGUAUUGGGUGAUUAUUGUUUGUGGAUAAGUGAACUGAGUAACAAUAAAGUCAUAAGGUAUGGAAGGGAGAAAUUGAUAAUACAUUAUUGCUAGGUAUCUGCACUACCUAUGAAUCAAUAUUUGAAAGCUGAUUUAGAUUAAUUGUAAAUUUGUAUUGCAACUCCAGGGAAACACUAGAAAGAAAAAAUUGCAAGAAAACAGGCAUAAUUCACAUUCUAAGAGAGAAGAAAGAGAAAAUGGAAGCAUAUAAAAUUAAUUAAAGCAGAGAAAACAGAAAAGAGGGGGAAGAAAAGAAGAAACAAGUACAAUGAAUAGAAAGCACAAACAGGGUAGUUAUUAAUCCAACUAUAUCAAUCUUUUUUUUUAUUUUUUUAAGAUUUUAUUUAUUUAUUUAUUUGAGAGAGAGACGAAGAGAGUGAGAGAGAAAGAACACAAGGCAGAGGCUUAACCGAAUGAGCCACCCAAGUGCCCCUCAAAACUUAUUUUAAAUGUGAAUGAUCUAAAUAUAGCAAUCAAAGACAAAGAGUGUCACAGUAGAUAAAAUAACAAUACCAAAUAUGUGUUACUUACUAGAAACCUACUUUAAAUGUAAAGGCAUAGAUAGGCUAAGCUUAAAGGGAUAGAGAAAUAUAUAACAUGCUAAUGCUAAUCAAAAUAAAGAUGGUGUAGCUAUAUUUAUGUCAAACAAAACACUCUUCAGAACAAACAAAAUUAUCAUGGAUAAAGAGAAGCGUUACAUGAUAAAGGGAUUAAUUCUCCAAGAAGACAUAAUAAUCUUUAAUGUGUAUACAUCUAACAACUGAAUAUUAAAAUAUGGGGGCAAAAACUGAUAGAACUGCAAGGAAACAUACAAAUCCUCUACUAUAGUUGGAGACUUCAACAACUCUUUUAGUAUUUGAUAGAUCAAUCAGGCAAAAAAAAUUGCAAGGAUAUAGUUGACCUGAACAGUACCAUCUAUCAGCUUGAUCUAAUUGACAUGUAUAGGAUACUGCAUUCAACAAGAGCAGAGUACACAUUCUAACCAAGCUCACAUGGAACAUUUACCAAGACAAAUCAUAUUCUGGACCAUAAAACACACCUUAACAAAUUUAAAAAAGAAUAGAAAUCAGGGCUCCUGGGUGGCACAGGUGGUUAAGUGUCUGCCUUCGGCUCAGGUCAUGAUCCCAGGGUCCUGGGAUCGAGUCCCGCAUUGGGCUCCCUGCUCCUUGGGAUCCUGCUUCUCCCUCUGCCUCUCUCUCUCUCUGCCUCUCUCUCUCUCUCUCAUGAAUAAAUAAAUAAAAUCUUUAAAAAGAAAAAUAGAAUAGAAAUCAUACAAAGUGUAUUCACAGUCCACAAUGGAAUUAAGCUACAAAUCAAGGGGCACCUGCGUGAUUCAGUUGGUUAAGCAGCUGAAUCUUGAUUUCAGCUCAGGUUAUGAUCUCAGGGUGGUGAGAUCAAGCCCCAGGUCAGGCUCUGCACUCUGCCUGCUUAAGACUCUCUCUCUCUCUUAAAAAAAAAUAAAAAUAAAUAAUAAAUAGAUAAAAUAAACUACAAAUCGGUAACAGCUAGAAAAUCUCAAAAUAUAUGGAGAUUAAGUAACACACUAAUAAAUAACACAUUGCCAAAGAACAAGUGUUAAAAUAAAUUUAAAAUAUUGUGAACUGAAAAAAAAAAUGAAAAUUUAAGUUAUCAAAAUUUGUAGGAUUCAGAGAAAGCAGUGCUUAGAAGUUAAUUUAGAACAUUAGAUGCAUAUAUUAGAAAAGAAAUAGAUCUAAAACCAGUCAUCUAAGUUUCCACUUUAGGAGGCUAGAGAAAAAAGAGCAAUUUAAUUAAAAGCAAUCAGAAGAAAGGAAAUAAUAAAAAUUAGAGCGGAGAGCAAUGAAAUUGAACACAGGAAAUAAAACCAAAAGUUAAUUCUUUGAAAAGAUUAGUAAAAUUGAUUAAGCUCUAGCCAGGCUAACCAAGAAAAGAACAGAGAAGACAUAAAUUACUAAUAGAAAUUGAAGGGGACUCUCACUGCUAUUCCCAUAGACAUUAAAAGAAUAAUUAAGGAAAAUUGUGAACUCCAUGCCCACAAAUUUGAUAAUCUAGAUGAAAUGGACCAAAACUCACUCGAGGAGAAAUAGAUCAUAUGAGUAGGCCUAUAUCUACUAGAGAAAUUGAAUCGAUUAUAAGUAACCUUCCAAAUCAGAAAGCACCAGGCCCAUAUGGUUUCACUGGUGAAUUCUACCAAACAUUUAAGGAAGAAAUGAUACCAAGUCUCCACAAUCUUUUUCAGAAUAUAGUAGCAGAGGGAACAUCUCCUAACUGAUUCUAUGAAGCCAACAUUACCAUAAUAUCAAAACUAGAGAAAGACAUUACAAGAAAGGAAACCUACAUACAUAUAUCUCUCAUGAAUAUAGUUGCAAAAAUCCUCAAAAAUAUUAGCAAAAUGGGGAUGAGUUAAGAUGGCAGAAUAGUACUAAGACCCUGAGCUUGCCUGUCCCUUGAACACAGCUGGAUCAACAUUGAACUAUUUUGAACAACUAGGAAUAGGAGCUGAGGAUUAAGAAAACAAUCUGCACAGUUGGAGGGAAAGAACGUGGCAGAUGCAAGGUUUGGAGCUGUGAAUUGUGGGAGAGGAAAGCUGUGGGGCCACAAAAGGGAGGGAACCCUUUUUGUGGAACAAAGUCAUGGAGCAGGAAAGAGCAGGAGAGAGCACAGUGGUUAGGUUGCUUAACAUCAGGGACAGAGGUGUGUGCAGAGGGCAGAUAACCUUGUAGCAGCUUUUCACUGUGAGUCACAUUAGACCUAAACCACCAUGUGCUUGCCGAAUGGCUGUUUUUCUGGGACAGGUCUGGGGAGAGAGCAGAGACAGGUGCAAAUUGCAGAGAACCUGGCUACUGCUUUUCGCUGUCUGCCACAAUACAUUCAAGCCCCUUUGUGUGGCUGCUUUUCUGGGACAGAAUGGAGUAGGGGACUAAGUCUCAUGCAGAUGGCAGAUAACCUGGUUGCAGCUUUUUGCUGUGCAUCACAAUAAACUUUAGCCUCUGUGUGCACACUGUGCAACUGCUUUUCUGGGACAGGAUGGUGCUGGGUGCACCACAAAUCUCUCCUCUGAGAGGAGAUAAAAUACAGGAGAUCUGUGGUGCUGAGCAUGUGGAUAGCCUGGGCACAGACAGGUUAAGGGCAGGGAACUAACAAAAUCCCGGGACUCAGUUCCCUUUUCUGUGAGGGCCUCCAAACAGUGGUGGCCAGGAAUUCCCCUCCCCAGGGAUAAGAGAGCAGGUAAUGCCAUCUUCCUCCUCCAUCCCCACACCCUCCAACACCCACCAGCACAGUCAGACUUCAGAGAGAGACACAGUGGAGGCCAGAGUCCCCUACACUAAACCUCAUGCCCCCUGCACCUGGAAAGGACAUCUAUACAAGGACAAGUCAGCUUGUGAGCCAGCCCAGCAGGCCUCUCCUUCAGAAGACCAACACAGGCCCCCCACAUGUACCAAGUCUACUGCUUAAAGAUUGCUCUAAAAUGUCAGUUUCUGUGGAAGUAAGACCAGGCUUACUUUUUUCUUUUUUUUUCUUCUUAACAUUUUAAAUGUUUUAUUUUUCUAUUUCUUCUUUGUUAUCUUUUUUUUUAAAGAUUUUAUUUGACAGAGAAAGAUACAGCAAAAGAGGAACACAAGCAGGGGCAGAGGGAGAGGAAGAAGCAGGCUCCCUGCUAAGCAGGGAGCCUGAUGUGGGGCUUGAUCCCAGGACCUUGAGAUCAUGACCUGAGCCGAAGGCAGACGCUUAACAACCGAGCCACCCAGGCACCCCUAUUUUUUUAUCUUUUAUUUUAUAUUUUUUCUUUUCUUUUUAUCUUUAUCUUUUUUUUUUUUUUUUUUUUUUUGUAUCAGGCUUAUAAUUUUUUGUUCAUUUGUUGGUUGGUUGGUUGGUUUCUUUUUCUUGUUUUUCAGAUCAGGCUUCUUAUUUCUUUUUCUCUUCUUUCCUUACUCUUUUUUCCUUCUUUCUGUCUUAUUCUUUGGAGUCAGUCUUAUGGUUUUUUGUUUGUCCUUUUGUUUGCAAUUUUGUUCCUUUUCCUUUUGUCUUGGAUCAGGUUUUUUUGUUGUUGUUUUCUUUUCUUUUCUUUUCCAGGUUUAUCUUAACAAACAAGUCAAAGCACACCUAGUUAAAAGUCCAGACACUCCCCACUGCAAGCGAGGAGGAACUCUGUAAAGGAUGGAACAGUGGGGAAAAGCAGCCAAAACGCAAUAGCAGAGUGUAUACAGCACACACCAGAAACACUUCCUGAAGUUUUAUUGAUGUUGUUGUUGUUUUCUUUUUCUUUCUUCCUUUCUUUUCUGGACAAAAUGACGAGAUGGAAAAAUUCACCCCAAAAGAAAGAACAGGAGGUAGCAUUCACAACUAGGGAUUUAAUCAAUAUGGAUAUAAGUCAGAUGUCUGAACUAGAAUUUAAAACAAUGAUUAUAAAGAUACUAGCUAGGCUUGAAAAAAGUAUAGAAGACACUAGAGAAUCCCUUAUUAUGGAGAUAAAAGAACUAAAAUCUAGUCAGGCUGAAAUUUAAAAUGCUAAAACCGAGAUGCAGUCCCAAGUGGAAGCCAUAAAAACAAGGAUGAACAAAACAGAAGAGUGAAUAAAUGAUAUAGAAAAUAAAAUUAUGGAAAAUAAUGAAGCUGAAAAGAAGAAGGAAAGAAAAUUAUUAGAUCAUGAAGGUAGAUUUAGGGAACUCAGUAAUUCCAUAAGGCAAAAAAAAAAAAAAUCCGUAUUAUAGGAGUCCCAGAAGAAGAAGAGCAGGAAAAGGGGGCAGAAGGUUAUUUGAACAAAUUAUAACUAAGAACUUACCUAAUCUGGGGAAGGAAACAGGUCUUCAAGUCCAAGAGGCACAGAGAACUCUCCUCAAAAUCAACAAAAAUAGAUCAACACCUAACAUAUUAUAGUGAAACUUGCAAAUUACAAAGAUAAAGAGAAAAUCCUGAAAGCAGCUUGAGACAAGAGGUCCUUAACCUACAAGGGUAGAUACAUAAGGCUGGCAGCAGACCUGUCCACAGAAACCUGGCAGGCCAAAAAGGACUGGCAUGAUAUAUUCAACAUGCUAAAUGGAAAAAAGUAUGCAGCCAAGAAAACCUUAUCCAGCAAGGCUGUCAUUCAGAAUAGGAAGAGAGACAAAGAUUUUCCAAGACAAACAAAAACUAAAGGAAUUCAUGAACACUAAACCAGCUCUGCAAGAAAUAUUAAAGGGAACGUUUUGAGCAGAGAGAGAGAGACCAAAAGUAACAAAGAACAGACAAUAUCUACAGGAACAGCGACUUUACAAGUAAUACGAUAGCAUUAAAUUCAUAUCUUUCAAUAAUUACUCUGAAUGUAAAUGGACUAAAUGCUCCAAUCAAAAGAUAUAGGAUAUCAGAAUGGAUUAAAAAAAAGAAGACCCAUCAAUAUGCUGCUUACAAGAGACUCAUUUUAGACCCAAAGACACCCCUAGAUUGAAAGUGAGGGGGUGGAGAACAAUUUAUCAUGCUAAUGGACAUAAAAGAAAGCUGGAGUAGCCAGCAUUAUAACAAAGUAGAUUUUAAACGAAAGACUAUAAUAAGAGAUGAAGAAGGACACUAUAUCAUAAUGAAGAGGUAUUAUUCAACAAGAAGAUCUAACAAUUGUAGAUAUUUAUGCCCAUAAUUUGGGAGCAGCUAAAUAUAAAAAUCAAUUAAUAAUAAAAUUAAAGAAACUCAUUAAUAGUAGGGAAAUUUAACACCCCACUCACAGCAAUGGACAGACCAUCUAAGCAGAAGAUCAAGGAAACAAGGGCUUUGAAUGAUACACUGGACCAGAUGGACUUAACAGAUAUAUUCAGAACAUUUCAUCCUAAAGUAACAGAAUACACAUUCUUUUAGAGUACAUAUAGAACAUUCUCCAGAGUAGAUCACAUACUGGGUCACAAAUCAGGCCUCAACUGGUACAAAAAGAUUGAGAUCAUACCAUGCAUAUUUUCAGACCACAAUGCUAUGAAACUUGAAGUCAACCAUAAGGAAAAAUUUAGAAGGACCACAAAUACAUGGAGGUUAAAGAACAUCCUACUAAAGAAUGAAUGGGUCAAUCAGGAAAUUAAAGAAGAAUUAAAAAAUACAUGGAAGCAAAUGAAAAUGAAAACACAACAGUUCAAAACCUUUGGGAUGCAGCAAAGGCAGUCCUAAGAGGGCAGUAUAUAGCAAUACAGGCCUUCCUCAAGAAGCAAGAAAAGUCUCAAAUACGCAAUGUUACCUUACAUCUAAAAGAGCUGGAAAAUAAGAGCAAACAAAGCCUAAACCCAGCAGGAGAAGGGAAAUAAUAAAGAUUAGAGCAGAAAUCAAUAAUAUAGAAACUUAAAAAAAAAAAAAACAGUAGAAGAGAUCACUAGGAGCUGGUUUUUUGAAAGAAUUAGCAGAAUUGAUAAACCCCUAGUCAGACUUAUCAAAAAGAAAAGAGAGAAGACCCAAAUAAAUAAAAUCAUGAAUGAAAGAGGAGAGAUCACAACCAACACCACAGAAAUACAAUUAUAAGAGAAUAUUAUGGGUGAUUAUAUGCAACAAAUUAGGCAAUGUGAAGAAGUGGAUAAAUUCCUAGAAACAUAAUAACUACAAAAACUGAAACAGGAAGAAAUAGAAAACCUGAACAGACCCAUAACCAGCAAAGAAAUUGAAUCAGAAAUCAAAAAUCUCCCAAUGAAGAAUAAUCCAAGGCCACAUGUCUUCCCAGGGGAAUUCUACCAAACAUUUAAAGAAGAAUUAAUACCUAUUCUUCUGAAACUGUUCCAAAAAAAUGGAAAUGGAAGGAAAACUUUCAAACUCAUUCUAUGAGGCCAGCAAAAACAUUUGGAUUUUGAUCCCAAAACCAGACAAAGACCCCACUAAAAAGGAGAAUUAAGGACCAAUAUCCCUGAUAAACCUGGAAGCAAAAAUCUCACCAAGAUACUAGCUAAUAGGAUCCAACAGUACUUUAAAAGGAUUAUUCACAACAACGUGGGAUUUAUUUCUGGGCUUCAGGGGUGGUUCAACAUCCACAAAUCAAUCAACUGAUACACCACAUUAAUAAAAGAAAGGAUAAGAACCAUAUCAUCCUCUCAAUAGGUGCAAAAAAAGCAUUUGACACAAUACAGCAUCCUGUCUUGAUAAAAACCCUCCACCAUGUAGGGAUAGAGGGAAUAUACCUUAACAUCAUAAAAGCCAUAUAUGAAAGACCCACAGCAAAUAUCAUCCUCAAGGGGAAAAAACUAAGAGCUUUUUCCGUAAGGUCAGGAACACGACAGGGAUAUCCACUCUAACCACUGUUGUUCAACAUAGUACUGGAAGUCCUAGCCUCAGCAAUCAGACAACAAAAAGAAAUAAAAAGCAUCCAAACUGGCAAAGAAGAAAUCAAACUUUCAUUCUUCACAAACAACAUGAUACUCUAUGUAGAAAACCCAAAAGACUCCACCAAAAAAUUGCUAGAACUCAUACAGGGAUUCAGCAAAGUGGCAGGAUAGAAAAUCAAUGCACAGAAGUCUAUUGCAUUUCUAUACAAUAACAAUGAAGUAGCAGAAAGAGAAAUCAAGGAAUCAAUCCCAUUUACAGUUGCACCAAAACCUGUAAGAUACCUAGGAAUAAACCUAACCAAAGAGGUAAAAGAUCUGUACUCUGAAAACUAUAGAACAUUUAUGAAAGAAAUUGAGGAUGACACAAAUAAAUGGAAAAACAUUCCAUGCCCAUGGAUUGGAAGAACAAAUAUUGUUAAAAUGUCUAUACUAUCCAAAGCAAUCUACACAUUCAAUGUAAUCCAUAUUGAAAUACCACCAGCAUUUUUCACAGAGCUGGACCAAAUAAUCCUAAAAUUUGUAUGGAACCAGAAAAGACCCCAAAUACCAAAGGAAUGUUGAAAAGGAAAACCAAAGCUGGAGGGAUCACAAUUCCAAACUUCAAGCUGUAUCACAAAGCUGUAAUCAAGACAGUAUGGUACUGGCACAAAAACAGAUAGAUCCAUAGAUCAAUGGAACAGAAUAGAGAACCCAAAAAUGGACCCUCAACUCUAUGGUCAACUAAUCUUUGACAAAGCAGGAAAGAAUAUCCAAUGGAAAAAAGUCUCUUAAACAAAUGGUGUUGGGAAAAUUGGACAGCCACAAGCAGAUGAAUGAAACUGGACCACUUUCUUACACCAUACACAAAAAUAGACUCAAAACGGAUGAAAGACCCAAAUGUGAGACAGGAAUCCAUCAAAAUUCUAGAGGAGAACACAGGCAGCAACCUCUGACCUCAGCUGCAGCAACUUCUUGCUAGACAUGUCUCCAGAGCCAAGGGAAACAAAAGUAAAAAUGAACUAUUGGUACUUCAUCAAGAUAAAAAACUUUUGCACAGCAAAGGAAACAAUCAACAAAACUAAAAGGUAACCUACAGAAUGGGAGAAGAUAUUUUCAAAUGACCUAUCAGAUAAAGGGCUAGUGUCCAAAUCUAUAAAGAACUUAUCAAACUCAACACCCAAAAAACAAAAAAUCCGAUCAAGAAAUAGGCAGAAGACAUGAACAGACAUUUCUCCAAAGAACACACACAGAUGGCCAACAGACACAUGAAAAAAAUGCUCAACAUCAUUCAGCAUCAGGGAAAUACAAAUCAAAACCACAAUGAGAUAACCCCUCACACCAGUCAGAAGGGCUAAAAAUUAACAAUUCACGAAACAAUAGAUGUUGGUAAGGAUGUGGAGAAAGGAGAACACACUUACACUGUUGGUGGGAAUGCAAACUGGUGCAGCCACUCUGGAAAACAGUAUGGAGGUUCUCAGAAAGUUAAAAAAUACAACUACCCCACAACCCAGCAAUUACACUAUUAGGUAUUUAUCCAAAGGAUACAAAAAUAGUGAUUCAAAGGGGCACAUGAACCCCAAUGUUUAUAGCAGCAAUGUCCACAAUAGCCAAACUAUGGAAAGAGUCCAGAUGUUCAUUGACAGUUGAAUGGAUAAAGAAGAUGUGGUAAGAAGAUGUGGUAUAUUACUUAUGUGGAAUAUUACUUAUCCAUCAAAAAGAAUGAAAUCUUGCCAUUUGCAAUGACAUGGAUGGAACUAGAGGGUAGGAUACUUAGUGAGAUAAGUCAGUCAGAGAAAGACAAAUACCAUAUGAUUUCAUUCAUAUGUGGAAUUUAAGAAACAAAAAGAUGAAUAUAGGGGAAGGGAAGGAAAAAUAAAAUAAGAUAAAAACAAAGAGGGAUACAAACCAUUAGAGACUCUUAACUAUAGGAAACAAACAGGGUUGCUGGAAGGGAGGUGGGGGGGAUGUCAUAACUGGGUGAUGGGCAUUAAAGAGGGCACUUGAUGUAAUGAGCACUGGGUGUUAUAUGCAACCAAUGAAUCACUAAAUUCUAUCCCUGAAACUAAUAAUACACUAUAUGUUAACUAAAUUGAAUUUGAAUAAAAAAUUCAAAAAAGAAAAUGAAAUAUAAAGUGGCAACCCCCCCCAAAAAAAAUAUUAGCAAGUCCAACCCAACAAUGUAUAAAAAAAAUUAUUCACCAAGACCAAGUGGAAUUUUUUCUAGGUAUGCAAAGCCAGUCAACAUUCAAAAAUCAAUUAGUAUAACCCACCACAUCAAUAGGCUGAAGAGGAAAAAUAAUAUGACCAUAUUAAUAGAUGCAGAAAAGUAAUUUGACAAAGUCCAACACCCAUUCAUGAUUUUUAAAAAAAGAAAACUUGGGGCACUUGGGUGGCUCAGUCAGUUAAGUGUCUGCCUUUGGCUGAGGUCAUGAUCCCAGGAUUCUGGGAUCAAGCCCCGCAUCAGGCUCCUUGCUCAGCGGGGAGCCUGCUUCUCCCUCUCCCUCUGCUCCCUCUCCUCUCACGCAUGCUCUCUUUCUCCCAAAUAAAUAAAUAAAAUCUUAAAAAAAAAAAAAAGACUCAGCAAAGUAUGAAUAGAGAAGAACUUCCUCAAAUUAGUAAAGAACAUCUAUUUAAAAAAAACUACAGCUAACAUCAUACUUAGUGGUAAAAAACUGGAUGCUUUAUCCUUAAGACUGAGAACAAAGCAAGGAUGUCCUCUAUCACCAUUGGUAUUCAAUAUCGUAUGGGAAGUCCUAGCCAAUGCAAUAAGACCAAGAAAGAAAAGUAAAAGUUAUAUACAGAUUAAGAGGAAAGAAUAAAACUAUCUUUGUUCACAGAUCACACAAUUAUCUAUGUAGACAAUUCCAAAGAAUUAACAAAAAAAACCUCCUGGACUAAUUAGUCACUGGAUACAGGUUCAUAUACAAAAAUGAAUUGAUUUCUUACAUACGAGCAAUGGACAAGGAGUACCUGAAUGGAAAACAGUACCAUUUACAAUGCCACAAAAAAAUGAAAUACUUAGAUAUAAAUCUAACAAAUGUGUACAAGAUACAUAUGCAAAAACUAUAGAACUCUGAUGAAAGAAAUAAGAUGUAAAUAAGUGGAGAGAGAGUCUAUCUAUAUUCAUGGAUUGAGAAACCCAAUAUUGUUAAGAUGUUAAUUCUUACCAGCUUUAUCUACAGAUUCAACACAAGUCCAAUCAAAAUCCCAGCAAGUUAUUUUGUGGAUCUUAACAAACCAAUUCUAAAGUUUAUGUUGAAAGGCAAAGGACACAGAAUAGCCAACUCAAUGCUGAAGAAAAAGAAAAUUGGAGAACUGAUACUAUCUGACAUCAAGACUUACUAUAAAGCUACAGUAAUCAAGGUGAUGUGGUCUUGGCGAAAGAAUAGGCACAAAGGUCAAUAGAACAGAAUAAAGAGCCCAGAAAUGGAUCCACAUAAACAUAGUCUACUGAUAUUUGACAAAGGAGGAAAGGCAAUUCAAUGAAUAAAGGAUAACUUUUCAAAAAUGGUACUGGAACAAUUGAAAGUCCAUAUGAAAAAACAGUCAGUCUGAAUACAAACCUUACACUUUUCCCAAAAAUUAACUCAAAAUGUGUCAUAACCCUGUCAAGCUCAAUGCUAUAAACUUCCAGAAGAAAACAAGGAAUUUGGGUUUGGUGGAGUUUUUAGAUACAAACUAAAAGCAUAAUAAAAGUAAAUACAAAAAACCGAUUUAGCCCACCCAAAUAUAAUCUUAAUAUAUUUGGUGGAUAAAAGAUAAGAAAAAAGGAGAGGAGGAGUUGUAAGAUGGCUGAACCCAUAUCUUUCAUGCUAGGAAUCAGAAGAUACUAUCUAAAGUUGAUAAAUCAAGAAUAUUGGCAAUAUAUAGCUAUUUUUAAGAAAUAUAGAUAUAAAAACUAAAGAAACUGCUGAAAUUGUUGAAUAUGGCUUCCUCUGGGGAUCUGGACAGGGUAUAGGAAAGAGACUAAGGGCUACCUAGAGUUGGCUAUGGCAGUGACUUUCUGCCUUUUAAUAUAAACUUUCUAGAGCUUUUGAUGUUUUAAUUUUGAUAGAAAUUAAAAUGAAGUUGAAAAAUGAACACUACAACUCAGCUUGAAAAAAUAAUAGCUGACCCUCCCACCCCUCCCUUGCACUAGCGAGGGCAUAAUACUACGAUGUCAUCUAAUGUCUGUAUUUCUGUUAUACAGGAAACCCUGUCACAAGGGCAGGACCACAUCUACUUUACAUACUGCUAUAUUUAUGUGUCUGACACAUUCCAGACACUAGUUCAUAUUUAUUGAAUGAAAAAAGAAACAUUUAACAGUUAUGGAAGAAGCACAUAGAGGACAGAUGUGACAAAUAAUACAGAGAUGGCCUUACUGCAAUUUGAGACUGGGCAUUGGCCCAAAGCAAGAGCUCAAGAGAUGUCUAGAAAUUUACUAUUUAAUAAAGAAGGUUGGCAAUUAGAAAGAGAGAGAGAGAUUGGUAGUUCCAGAAAGUGGCAGGAUCAAGGAAGAUGUAAUCAUGGCAGGGGUAAUGAGAACACUGCAGUCCUAAAAAUAACAAUCUACUAGAGGGAGAAGCACAGAAUGUGCUAGAGAGACACUAGAGAUCAUUUCUGUAAAAUAUGGAAAAUUAUGAUUUUCCAAUGUGGGAUUUUCCCCUUCCAGAGCUAGCAGUUUAAGUGCAUGGGUUUCUCACUACCACAGCCAACUCUGAUGAUUGCUCAGGUCGUAAGAGUCCCUUGCUGACCACACUCCCCACCUCUUUCUAGAAAGAACACAUGUUUCCUACAAUGUUCAAUGUGUUAACUUGAUGUUUGGCAUCUAUAUACUUUAAGAAGGUCCAAAUGAUUGAAGUGAAGCAAAAUCAGUCAUGAAUUUUAUUAAGGGAAAUUUGAAUUGAGUUCUCUGAGGAAACAUCACCAUAAGACCAGGUAGGCUAUAGAAAGCAGGACUCAAAGGAAGCAAAUAAUUUGGAACCAGUUUUUAGACCUGUGCCAGGAAAUGUGUUGGGAGAAAAUAUUGUGAAGUAGAUUAUUGGCCUGCCUGUGUGGAUAAAUUACUCUGAUAUUUGUGAUUUAGAAUCAGGAAGAAAGCACAUUUCCUUAUUACCUCAUUACAGGAAUUCAUUCUGGGAGGCAUGCACAAUUUGCCUUUUCUCCAAGGAUGGGUGGAGGGACUUGUAACCUUGAAAAUAUCUUUGUCUGUGAGAAGUAGAGAAAAAGUAUAUAUUUCUGCAUAAGGAGAAGCAGUGGGAAGAUUUUGUUUGUUUUGUUUGCUUGCUUUUUAUCUAACCUAAGUUGACUGUGCUAAUAACUGCACGUUAUCUGAUGAGUGUAUCUCUAAGAUAGGCAGUAUUCUUUAUACCCCUUUAGCAGAGAGAAACUGAGGCUUCUAAAGUUAAAUAAUAUUCAAGGUGACCUAACCACUAUGUGGAUAAGCUGGAAGUAGAUCCAAAGUAUGGAUGGUACAGCUGCUAGACAGGACCAGCUCCGUAAUUUGUGGGGCACAGUGCAAAAUAAAAAUUUGGAGGCCCUGGUUCAAAAAUGAUUAGAAUUUUAAGAUAGCGAAGCAGAGCAUUAAACCAAAUGUAGGGCCCUUCUGAGCCCAGGGCCACAUGUGACUGCAUAAGGUGCACACUCAUAAAGCUGGCCUCAUGUCUAGCUACCUCCCAUGUAUGUCAAUUUGGGCUAGCUCCAAUGAGAAAAUUGGAAAGACACUGAUAAAUUGUCAAUUAUGAUUAUACCUUAAAAGAUUAACUUGAAGAAGACUCUAUUAAACCCACAGUAAAUGAAGAGUUACAUAAUUAUAUCUGUAACUUCUGAAAUUAUCUCUGUAACUGAGCUAGAGGAUAUUUCAACACUGCUUCAGAUGGGAUCCCUCCAUGUGGUAUUUGCCUAUGAAUUGAUGCAUUAAUUCUCUAGCACUACUGUACACAUCACCAUAGAGAACUUUUUGAGACCUGUUUCCAGAGCCAUGUUCCCACCUAGGCAGAUAUCUUUUGUCAUAUUCCCUGGGGCCCACGGCCAUUACAGUGGGAACGUUGGCAGCCCUCUGCACCAUGAUCUCCUCAAUGGCAUGCCUUUGCAUCCCUACUGCUGCUUACUACACCUGGCACACAGAAGGGAUUCAAGAAGUGUUUGUUGAAUAAAUGAAUGAGUACACAAACUCCAGAAAACUCCAGCAGAAUUCUAGAUUCUCAAAAAUGUAGCAAGAACCAAUCUCCUUGCAAUCAAUAGUCAGGAGAUGGUCCAAGGGGCCUUUAUAUUGCCCUAUAUUGAGACAAUUAGAUCUAAAAAGAGGGCCACUUCUAAAGUCAGCAUUUUGAACCAGAAGUUAAAACUGCCCUUGGGAAGUCCUUCAGAAGCAUCAGGUUGGAAGUACCAUGCGAGACACACAGAGCUGAUGCAAUGCACAUUCUUUAUCUUGCCCCACCCUGGGGCACAUGCUCACUGCCUGCCAAGCAGCAUAGUGAAUUUAAGUAGGCUAAAGGCACAUAUCAUGUGACUCUUUCUUAAGGGGUAAGUCAAUGCCUUUUCUGAAGGAAGUGUUUAUUAUUUUAUCCUUGCAGUGGUUUUCUCCCCUCUCAGGAAGUUGCAAAAUCUGACCCUUGAGUUUUAUAAGAGAUUCAAUCUUGUGUUAAACUUCACCGAAACUGAUUUAUCUUACAUUUUGCAACAUUUCUAUAUCUGACACAUUUUCUAUAACUUUUACAGUCAGUGUGGAAAAAAAGAAAAAAUUUACACAGAGAUUUCAUACUUGGAUCACUUUUUGAUUCUGAACACAUUAAAAGCUGUCCAGAGCCCUGUUCCCAUCCAUCACUCUCUAUUCUUCAGAGCUCUGGAGGAGGCCAGCCUAUUUGCUGAGAGCCAGACUGCUGAGAUGUGUAUUCCUGCUUCUCCACUUACUGAACCUCUCAGGGCUUUAGUGUCCUCAUCUGCAAAAUGGUAAUAAUAUAACACCUUCCCCAAAGAGUCGCUCAUGUAGAACAUUUAGUACAGUGCCUGUCAUUGAGAAUUCAAUGACGUUAGCCAUUAGCUGGUAUUGCAUGAGUCUGUGUCCUAUGUGUCUUCUGAGCAAUAGCCCAGCUGUUGAAUAGCCUAGCUCCUUAUCUAAAUGUGAAUAACAAAAGAAAUUUUUAAAUCCUUUUAAAAAUAAACUAAUCUUAAGAAUUGGAAGAUCAUCAGUGGUAAGAUAGAUAGGUACAUGUGUCUAUCCAGGAUAAAUAAGGGUGACAGCAGCAGAAAAGGGAAAAUGAUAUGUCUUCCUCCCUACAUCUCCGCAAGGGCUCCAGUGAUCACUACAACUCAUGAUUUAUGUGAUGGGAUGAAAUUUGGCUAGGUGGCAUAAGAGCUACUGAGUUUAACAAGGGCAAUUUUUCUUUACUAUUUGUCAUGUGUACCCAGUCAAAAUCCAAAAGAGAUUUGAAUGAGACACAUACCACUUGGCAUCUGAAAAUUUUCUUGCUUCUACUCUAUAGUAGGAAAGUCAGUUUUCUAAUUAUUCUCAAUUCUCAAAUAUACCGUGCUACUAGAUGUUGUCUAGUCUAUCCUUUUCCCACUUGUCCCCUGCCUGCAAGACACUAUAUUUCUCUGUCCUCCUUCCCUGUCAAUAGCUUUUUUUUUUUUUUUUGGUCUGCUUCUUAGCCUCAUUCUCCUCAAACUAUCCCUUAGAUCUUGAUCUUUUCUGGGUCUCUCUCAUGGACCCCUCAUGCCUUAUACUCUACCUGGGUGAUCUCAAUUUGUUCUGAUGGCUCCAACCAUCUUUUGGACAAUGAACCCUAUAUCUGUAUUGCCACAUCAGUCCUUUCUCUACAGUCCAAACCCAUGUAAUUGCCUUCAGGAAACCUCCCCUUGGAUCUCUUACAGACACUGCAAAUUCAACAAGUCCAAACAACUCGUCAUCCCCUCAAACGGGCUCCCUUAUGGCAUUCCCUAUCUCAGGAAAUGGCAGCACUCUCCACCCAGUUAAUCAAGCCAGGAAUCUAUGAUUCAUCCUUAACUCAUCUCAGUUCCCUCACUGCCUAAAUCCAAUCAAUCACCAAGUUCUCUUAAUUCUAUUUUCUAAAUCAGUUUCUUUCAAAUUUAUUUUACUGUCAGUGAAAGAAACAUCUCUUGCAUCAUGCCAGCAUGUAUGUGCAUGCACACACACACACACACACACAAGUGAAACACAAGUUUCACAAAGCAAUUUUUAUCAUCAUUUUAUGCAAAGUUUUCUGAUAUUUUCUAUUGUGUUUUCUGCUGGUGUUGCUUUUUAAAAUGCUAGUAGCCAAUGGAUUACUGGCAAAUGUUUAACAACCAGCUCUUCUGGAAGUGAAGAAGGGGGAAUCUGAUGUGUAGCAUUUGAGUCUUUGAUGUAAAUACACCCACCAUGGGUGAAUUUAAGCUACCAACCAAAGAGCUUGCAAACAUCCCAAAGAUCCAACAAUCAGCUCUCUUGACCAUCUCCAGCAUGCCACUGCUUAUGACCUACAGUUUGAUAGAUGCUGGUCUAAAUAUUUCUUAAAUCUACCCACUAAUUUUCAUUCCCAGUGCUACCAUUCCAAUCUUAGCUACCACCAUUUCUGAUAUAAUUGGUUUCCAGGUCAACUGAUCAGUUUCACAUUUGUUUAAAGCCGUUCAAAGACUUCCUGUUGUCCACAGGAGAAUACAGUCUAUAAUUCUUACCAUGGCUUAAAAAGCCACCUACAGUUUGGCAUCUGCCUGCCACCGCCCCCCCCCCAUACCCUCUCUCCAUUGAUCUCAAUCUCAAAAAAAUGUUUUCUUCUUGAACAUCUGGGAGCUCUCCCUUGUUUUCAGGUCUUUGGACAUGAUAUUCUAUUUGGCUAGAAAGUUCUUGCCUCCCAUCUCUGUUCAGCUAACUCUUACUUCUCCUUCCUAUCACAGCUUAAAUGCUACUUAUUCAUUCUUUCAUUCAUUCUCCUACUAUGUGACAGAUAAACUAAAUGCUGGUGAUAUCAUGAGAAGUAAAAAUAGGGGCGUCUGGGUGGCUCAGUCGGUUAAGCAUCUGGCUCUUGAUUUUGGUUCAGGUCACAGUCUCAGUGUUGUGAAAUCAAGCCCCACAUCAGGCUCCACACAGCAUGGAGCCUGCUUAAGAUUCUCUCUCUCUGGGGCGCCUGGGUGGCUCAGUCGUUAAGCGUCUGCCUUCGGCUCAGGUCAUGAUCCCAGGGUCCUGGGUUUGAGCCCUGCAUCGGGCUCCCUGCUCAGCAGAAAGCCUGUUUCUUCCUCUCCCACUCCCCCUGCUUGUGUUCCCUCUCUCGCUGGGUCUCUCUCUGUCAAAUAAAUAAAAUCUUAAAAAAAAAAAAAAAAAGAUUCUCUCUCUCCCUCUGCCCCUCCUUGACCUCCCUCUCUAAAAAGUAAAAAUUAAAAUUAAAAAAGGAAGUAAAAACAGCCCCUCACCUCACAGAAUUUAGAUACUCUAGUACUCUAGAUGAGAAGAAAACAUAUUCAACUAAAGAUAUUAUUCAAAUUUAAAUGCUAAUAAAAGAAGAGCUUAAAAAAUAGAUUCAUGGCUCUAUGAGAACUUAUAAAAUCUGACCUAACUUAGUAAAUCAAGGAAAAUUUUCCUAAGUGAUGACUGGUAAGUUAUAAUAGUUGAGCUAAGAUAUAAAGGAGAAAUAUAACCUAAUGAGUCUAAGGGAUGGGGAACUAACAGCAUAGGCAGAAAGAGGAACAUGUAAAAAUCUCACAUGGCAGGAAGGAAUAUGGUAAAAUCAAGGAACCAAAUGAAAGCCAGUGUAACAAGAGCCAGAUAUGAGGGGCACCUGAGUGGUUCAGUCGUUAAGCGUCUGCCUUCGGCUCAGGUUGUGAUCCCAGGGUCCUGGGAUCGAGCCCCACAUCAGGAUCCCUGCUCAGUGGGAAGCCUGCUUCUCCCUCUCCCACUCCCCCUGCUUGUGUUCCCUCUCUCGCUGUGUCUCUCUCUGUCAAAAAAAUAAAUAAAAUCUUAAAAAAAAAAAAAAAAAAAA